Long non-coding RNA from Gallus gallus (chicken), 30851 nucleotides. RefSeq lists it as uncharacterized. Lineage: Eukaryota; Metazoa; Chordata; Aves; Galliformes; Phasianidae. The transcript is spliced from 3 exons. The record is from RefSeq and is a predicted model, not a curated record.
GGCCCGCCCCGGGGCUGCCCACGGCGGGGCCGGGCCCGCGGGGAGCGCCGCGCUACGGUGCUGUUCGUCCGCAGGGUUUUCGAGUCAGCGGGAGCCGGGAGGUGACCGGCCCUCUGAACGGCUCAUUACAGGAAGCAAAUCUGCAGAUGAAAACACAUGAAAUAGAACCAGAUCCCGCCAGAGCAUCAAACAUGAAAUAUGCCAGCGCCGCUCCACAGACAGCAUAAUCAAUGCCCUUCUUCCCACAGCAAAACCACCGAAAUUCUUUGUUCCUGCGCAGAGUUGUCCCAAAUCUACAGUUCAUCACUUCAUCCGGCAGAUGAGAUACCCCCACAGAAGCCAUGUGAGUGAAACCAACUAAUUGCCAUCUGAGAACGGGAGCAUACAGACAGACAAUAAAGUAGAGGAACACAUACUCAUCAUUAGCAGAAUGUGCUGGAAAAUAACAACCCAGGCUCUUCAGUCCUUAUCCCAAAGGAGACCUGCAAAAGACUCCCAGAAGGUAAAUCUCAACCCUCUCUUUGCUCAUGGUCCAGCAGAGAGCCGUCAGCUUGUCACUCACUCCUGCUCACACGCCUUUGCACUCCAUAGGUGUUCCUUUUUUUUUUUCCUCUCAAGUGGUCAAAUUGAUUAAUAUAAUUAGAUUAAACUAAGAACAAUUGCAUCUAGCCUGUAGUUAGCUUGAAUUUUGCUGCUUUCUGUCAGAUCUGAUAAAGAGACCCUGAGCCCGAUAGCUUGUUUGCUUUUUCCAGCCAUAUCAGCUGAUCUAAUAAAAGAUAUUACCUUUCUCCACAAACCUUGCUUCCCUGGGAUCCUCAGACCAUCACAGCUACAAAAACAACACUGUCUCGCCUUCUCUAACUGAUUCUUCCAGAUUCUCUUAUCUAUGAAAUAGAAUAUGAUAAAAUGUGUUUUGUUUUGUAUCGAUUCUUAUGCUGUUUUCAUAAUCAUAAUAUUCAAGUACGGUCGAGGACUACAUUAACUGAUCCACGUAACAUCUGUCACAUGUGGGGCUUGGUUUUCUUUGUCUUGUUCUCUCCCCAGGAAGAAAAUGAUGUGCAGAGCAGUGUUUUGGUUUUGUGAGGUUUUUUUUUCUUUUUUUCCUCCUCUAUUCUUGUUGCUCUGUAUUCAUACCAGGGAAAAUGAGGACGACGGCAAUUUCUGUGCUAGACUUUAUUUCCCAGGGAAGUUAAUUUCAGAGUGUUGAGGCACCCAUAGAAAGAUGUCUCCUGCACAAAGGAACGUUAAAAUAUGUUAUGCCCAACCAAAGAAAAGCUAAUCUGUAUUCUUGACAUCUGGGACAGAAACAUCCAAAAAAAGAGAACAGCAUUUCCCUUCCUCCAGAAAAGGAGUUUCAACCUGUGGUCCUAAGGCUCCAGCAGAUUGAGGCAGAUUAUUAACAUAUACAGGCCAGUGCUCUACACAGCUAUAAAUAGGAAUAUCUGGAAACCAAAAGGAGUAAUGUAUCUUCUGAUUGCAUUGAAACAGACCGCUAUAGGACAGCUUGAAGGGAAACAGUGGGAAUAAACUAUUUCAUGUGAAAACACAGAGAGCAUUUCCUCCUACGUGAGGAGUCACACCACUGUUCCUCAAAGAGGAACCCUGAGUAAUCCCACAUGUUUGAGAGGCAGAGGUACAACAUGUGAGCUUCUGAAAGGCAGGAACUGAGGUGAAGAGAGGAAUCAUUUGUGCUCAAGUACUGAAAGCAGAAAUACCAGAAGACCUCAGGGAGACAGUAGACAGCAGAUUUAAUAUGUUUUUGCAAUGUUAUAUGGCAGCAAAAAUCAUGCAGUUAAUUUAAUUUGGGGUUGUAAAGGCAGAGACCUCUUCUCAGAGAUAUAGGCAAUAGUCCCAUUUUUUAAUAUAGCGGUGAGACCACGGUUUGAAGACAUGUUUAGAUCUGGACAGCUCAGUACAAGCUAGAUGUCAACGACUUGGAGGGAAAUAAAAAAAAAAAAAGAACAUAAAAUGAUAAAAAAGCUGGAAGGGAUUACAGUGUGUGUAGGUUGGCCAAAUAACAACUGUGAAGAGCAUCAUGGGAAUUGCGUAUGAGAACUUCAGGGGUGCAGAAGCACCAGGGAGCGAGAAAGACUGCUUAGGGUUGUCUGAGGGAGUGUAAAUGAUAUCAGUGUAAAUGAAAUUAAGCAAAAUAAGUAUUAAUCUGCAAAUCUGCAUGACAGCAUCCCAGAGGAGCUCCCAUCACCCAAUUCAUGGAAGAUGAUCAAGAAGCAGUGUCUGCGGGAAGGGAUUAGAUGGGGACAGCAUGCCUUGGGGAUGUCCCACUUCUGACUGCCUAACUGCUUGCUAACUGCAAUAUUUGCAGAGCAGGAGGUCUCAACCCUGUACAUGGGGGAAACUUUCUCAACAGCAUUGCUGUAGAUCAAAAUAUCCGUGCUUGGUUCCAGCAGGUAGCUAUGGAGGGAGUGCAGUACUUAAAGAGAUCUAAGGGGUGAUUGUAUCCUCAGAACAUUUCCUUUUCACCACUGUGAUUUUCUGGAGAUGUCCCUGGUUCAUCAUCUGGUCAGGACAACAAUGACAGCACUCCUUUGUUUAGUGUUGUUGUCAUGACAUUCUCUUGGAUCACACAGACCUUCCAAAAGCUGUCCUGGACAGCACCCACCUCUUCCAAGAAGUCUGUGGCAUCCAUAGACAGCAGCUAAUUGAGAUGAAAAUAAAUAAAUAAAUAAAUAUAUCGGAGCUUUUAUUAUUCCUUAAUUAGAGUAAGGAGAUCAAAGUAUCUGCUUUUCUAACACGGUAGGAAAGCCAGCCUGAACUUGCACCCAUGCCACCUUUCUAUCACAUUGUGCCACCACAUAAUAGGAGACCUACAGCAUAGAGUGGCCGAGCAAGGGCUGACGCAGCCUGCUGCUGUUCUUCCUGAAUGUGCCACGCACACAAUGCUUUAAAAAAAUAAAAAAGCCCAGACAAUUUUAUAAAUGUUCUAUAAUGAGUUUGAACAUCUUUCCUUUCCUUUCUGGGUCUGUAUUUUUUUAACAACACCCUUAGGGAGGCAUUGCAGUGAUAAUUAUCAGUCCAAGCAUACACAAAGCACACAAAGGUACCAUAUCCUGUAAUUGUUGACCUUAAACAGCUUUUCUAUACGUAGAAAUGUAAUGAUCUCUGUGAAGGAAACCUCUCUACUUAUUUAUUAAAAUGAAUACCGUGGCCUGACACACACAGGCAAACACGAGUGCACUAAUAUCUUGGUUUGAGGUUGUCCUGUAAUUAACUGCUGAAGCACACACUGAAAUGAGUCCAUCACUCGCCCGUAUCUCGGGGACCUCUGGCUGCUUCACUCACACUCUGCCUAAUGGCUGUCUCAGGACAACACCUGCCACAAACCUCUCUCGUUUCAUGCACUUACCUUGCGAGGUUGGUGUUUGGUUUUUGUUUCUGAUCAAGAGGAAAGUGUUUUCUUCUUUCUUUUAAAUGUAGCUUUUCUCUGGAGGUAGGACAGGCAUUGUCAGCUCUGAAAAUUCAAGAUUAAUCAAGCAAUUAAGAAUUGAUAUCUAGUGACUUAUCAUGACUAGAAAUGAGAGAUGCUGCAUUCAUUUUAGCUCUACAUGAACCCAAAAUAGCUAACCUGAUUUUUAUGGACAGCGAGAUUAUUUUAAAUCUACUGGGGAGGAGAAGAAGAGCUACAGCUCCCUUAUUAAACUGAUUUCUCCAAAACCCACACCUGCGUUUCGCACACUGCCUAGCAGAGCAGGGCUGCACAGAGCUGUUCUGAAGAGCCGCUGUGCUCCAGGCUCAGACCCUGCCUUGACCUCAGUGAGUCUGAAAGCCUACAGAAAUCCCGAGGGAGCAAAAGCUGAGCUGAAGUUUUACUUUCUCUUCCCCACGUGCUCACAGAGCACAGCCCUGUUUGAAUAAAUAACCCAACCAAGCAGGAAUUGCAUCACACCGCGGCUGUGGUUUCUUUCAAAUGUUCAAAAGAAUGGCAAGCAUUCCCAUUCACAGAAUGAUCACAGCACCUCUUCUUGUGCCUCUCUCUUGCCCGGAAGCUCGGCGCUGGCACUGAGGGCUUCCCCAUCUUCUCUUCCCUGAGCAGAGUGCUGUGACGAGCCACAGCCAUUUGCUCUGCCUGCCCUAAGCCCUCUCCACCAGCCCAGGAGAUUCUUCAGCAGUUAAGACCUUCUGGGAUGGAUGUGCAGUAACUCAUCACGUCCCCUCCAUAAACAUUUAUUUGGGGAAUUACAGCAUAAGUAAUUGGGCUUUCCAUGGUAAUUUGGCUUUUACGAGCUCUCCUUAUUGCCAAAAUGGUGGAUACCUCCAUAAGAGAGAGCAGUAACUUCUGCAGCUCAGUGACCUCUGUGAGCAGACCUCAUCCAGGCAAAUGGGAGCCCCGAUCAAUACCUGCACAAGAAACCAGUGAUGAAAGAAGAGUGCUGCUGAAACAGGUGCUGGAGACCCAGGAAGAGACUUUUUUCCCCUAUACUUUAUAAAACCGAAAGGAGCUUAAUAAUUCCUGCUUACCCAGCUGCUGGCUCCCACCUUGACAGCCUGAUCGGAAUAAGAACGUAGGAAGCUGAAUUUUGCUCCUGACUUUACUUAUGACCCUCUGCUAUUUUGGAAAAGUCGUUUAACCUCCUGAGUCUCCGUUUCCUCAUGUAUGAAGCUGAAAUAUCAUACUGAGUCUUGCAAGGACACUUGACAUCUUUGAUUUUAAUGGCAUGUGUCAGCGUAAAGCACCGCUGGUGGCAUUACAAGGCUAAUUCCCUCGCAACUGCAGUACAGGUAUUUUGGGUACAACUAUUACCCCUGGGAGUGCUCAGAAAUCCUUGCCCCAAAUUGUAGGCCUAACAGUCUUUCAGAUGGGAUAGAAAACAGAGGUUCUAACUGGUUACCUAAAGGCACGUUUCAAAGAAGCCCAUGUGUUAGCCUUUCCAUGUUCAUGCUGUUCCAAUUUGGGCAAUUACAUUCUGACUGCUUAAAGCAGGGGAGCCGACUUGCCUGACCCUACCAGCUGUAUAUUCCAAUCUUCAUGUGGCCAAGAGCUAUGGAACACAAGCCACGUAUUUCAGAAGGAAAAGUGGAGCUCCGGGAGAUGCUCUUAUGUCAUGGACGCAAAGGAGGGGAGCCUGCCCUGUCUUCAUCACCUCUCAGGGGCUGGUGGCACUUGGGCUGCAGUGCAGAGCUGUGCGGGGCCAGAGGCACCAUCCAUACGGGCAGAAGGCAGCCCUGGCUGGGACGGCUCUGCAUGGCUCGAGGUGCCCACCUCGAGAGGCUGGGGGCCUCCAGGGGCAUGCGGGCAGGCAGGGGACAGGAGAGGGAGCAGAGAGGACCUAGGGCACCAUCUGGUGGCUUCACUCACCGCCUUCCCUAAAUCCCUGACACACAGGGUCACAGCCCUUGCAUGGCUGAGGACUGGAGAAACACCAGACUCUGCAGAGAGACCAUCCAGCAGGAAGAUGGGACCCCUGCCCUUGGCCCUUUGGACAUUGCUGGGUGGGAGAGGGGUCCAAAUAGAGCUGCAGUAGCCAUUCCACUUGGGUGCUUUUCAGUAAGUGCCUCCUUUCACAAAAAGACUCAGCCCAAACUAGGUCUUUAGACACCUGCCAUAGAAGUGUUUAAUGUCAAUGAUACCCCUGAGAAGGGAAAAGAUGAUGAUCGGAAGACGACAGCAAUGAAAGAGAACACAGUGGACAACACGUUGGUCAGGCAUUUUGUUUCAGUCACCUAUCACAACAAGCUCUUUGUUGUCCACAGAUAAAAGGCAAAACGUGGUUGGUGUAUUUCAUACCAGAAAACAGCACCCAUGCAAGAGUUUGUUCUCUACCAAAAAGGAUGAAAAGAGUGAACCACUCAUAUGCGCUCAGCUUUUUGCCUUCUGAAAGUAGGAUUUGCUAGAAAGUGUUGUGAAGGAAUUGUUUGAAAGGGACUAGGUGGCCUCAGUGCCACCAACAACCCUUAGAGCAGUGCCAGCUAAGACAAUACGGAGAGGAUCAUCACAGUGAGAGGCUGCAUCUUAGGACCGAAAGCUCUCUCUUGGUACAGAGGAUAAAGGGCCCUGUGUUAAUAUGGCACCUCCUUUACAAGAAAACAGUGUGUUUUCCACCUUUGCACCACCGCUUAUUUUGAUAACGUCUCCACUUCCUGAAAUCCUGUCAAUACAAAGGGGUAAUUUCUCUUAGCUUUCCCACCACCUGGGAAUCAAAGAUUACAGCUCUGCAACCUGAGAGCAUGUUCUGUGUGUAACUGCACCACGCUGGGGAAAGCAAGCAGAGCUGUGGCCCUCAGGGACAUCGUUUUCAAGAGGAAUCCAUUCUCACAUUCAAUUUAGGAAUAAACACAAUAAGUCCGUCAUCAAGUCUCACUUGUGUGGAGCAGGGGUAGAUAAUCCUUAACUUCUCUUCUUUGUAUGUUUUUUUAUUAUUAUUAUUAUUUAUAUUGUCCACACUUAAAACAAUCUCUUUCUGCAUCUAUUCUCAGAGACCAUACAGACAAGAAGAGCAAACGACUGCCUUUUUUUUUUUUCUUGAACAAACCUUUGCUAUAAAGAAACUGCAUCAAUAUUAUAUAAAUUAUAUUCACUGGUUUCUCCUACCUGUGCCAGAGGGCAUUUCCUCAUACCUCCUUGGAAAACUCUGUACCAUUUAUAAACAACUCUUCUCUCACCAUCUUCUACUUUACACCUUUCUCUCUCACACACUCUGGGCGGCUGCCCACAGUGCACAAUGCUAGAGAAGUGAUACUAGCUUCAGGCUACGCAGCUUCCAAGCUUCCUUUUUCUCAAGCAGCAGUCUUUUAGCCUCACAGAACCAAUCCCAAACCCAUUGAAAUCAACACAGCAACUCCUCCUGACUUUGACAGGCUCUGGCGCACAGCCCAAAUCCCCAGACUUUCAGCGUUUCUUGGACAUUUUUACUUUUUCACUUGAUUGAUCGGAACCGGUUGGGAUUCGUUCAGUACUUGAGCACUGACUGUUCUAAAAUAGCCCUCCUAUUCCAAAUAUCAUUCCUUUUCUUAUGUUUCAUCUUAAACACCUACUGCUACUUAAUAUAUAGAAUUGUUCAGACAUAAAUGUAAGGAACGCUAUUUAAUAGAAAAGCAAAGCAAAACACUUCGCUGCAGAGUGAGAUCUUUGCCAGGAAAUUUGCAGCACUAUUAUUUUUAGCACGUAUAAAAUUUAAAAAGCAAAACACACACACACACGAAGAAAAAAAAAAACAAAAAACAACCCAAACAAACGGCAUUAUUUUGAAAACUUAAACCUUUCAUCUCAACCAGCAGCUUCUUCAGAAUGUUUUAUUGCCACACUACAACGUAUUUAUAUUUCAUCUCAUCAUUUCUUCAAAUUUGUUAAGGAAAGGUGAUAUUAUACCUGCACAAUCCCCUGUUUCUGCUUUUGUUUUGUUGUUGUUGUUUUCUGAGAAAUGUUUUUAUCCCAAUUGCUAUUUCUGGUCACAUUACUAAAUACUAAAACUGCUGAGUUCAACAAUUUUUAGUUCUAAUUAUUGUGAUCACCUAACAACUGGCAGCCAAGUCUAGUGAGACACACUGUCUAUUUGUUGCUCUUUCUGAAAUGAAUUCCUCAACACUGGGAAGAGAAAAAGCGUUUUCCUGUGGUUUAAGAAAGUCCAAAUUGCAUGUCUGAAAUCUCUUCUAAUAAAAAGAGCAAAGCAAUAAGCGGAUUAUCUCUUUAAACAUAGUAUAGGAAGGUUGGAGGCCCUGGAGACAUUUUCCAUAGCCUCUAUCUCUGAUGCAUAGCAACAUUAUCUUCAAGUAGAGAGGGUCCUAUGACCCUGGAGCUCUGUUUUAAUUUGAUCUUCUUCUUUAAAGAGGUUUCUAUGAUUCCUCUCAAGUUAUGCUACAUAUUCUUAUUUUGGGUUGGUUUUGUUUGGUUGUUAUUUUGUUGUUCUUUUUUAAUCUGAGAUAAAACGGCCUCAGCUUUUUUGAUCCGCUGGUUUGAUCGCGUUAUAUGGAUAUUAAAUGUAACCUUUUCCCUACCAGAACUGGAAUAUGCAUCAGCACAAAAGGUAGGCAAGUUCCAGCUGACAGGAGAGAGAAGAGCUUGGGUAGAAAAUUCACCUUGAGGGUCUCUCUCCUCACUCCGGUCAUUCUAAGUUUGAGAACUGGUCUAUCUGCCCGAAUAAUCUAUGAGGGAAAACAAAGCAAAACAAAACUUAUAUCUUUGUUGGGAAAUAAUGGCUGGCUGAAACAAAGGCAAACCUAUGGAUUUUGGUGGGGCAGAGGUACCAAACCUCCUCCCACAGAAAUUCAAAAUCCCAAACAGUAAGAAUGGCCAUUGCCAAAAAGAAUAGCAAACUGGGGAGAUCAGCUUGAACUUCUCUGGGCUGGGACAUGGACCCAGAACUGUUUGAAUUACGCAGCCCAGCAAGGGAGUUUCCUCAAGUUCCCAGCUUUUCCUUUUCCUUGUUCUGGAGGGGUCAUUGCCACUGGGACAUCUUGGCAGGCACAGAUAUUUUAUGUCUUCUUCAACUCCAUUUUUAUCUCUCUUCAUGCAUCCAUCCCUUGCCCAGUACUGCUGAUAUUGCUGAAGGGAAAGCAUUUCUUCCAAGGCACUGAUUUGAGUCAGUUGAGUAUGGUCACAGCAGGCAUCUGUGACUACUUGAUGGGAUUAGCAGAUUAUGAGAAAGCAUGUUUCACUGUGGGGUUCCUGAGAAAGAAAAAAUGGGCAGGUGGAUGCUUGGAUCUUCGUUAAACUAUGCAUGAAGGCCUGAUGGCUGUGUCAGGAAAGCCAUAGGCACAGGAUCAGAUGGGCUGCUGCAGGUCAAGAUUUGAAGAUCAGGCCAGCAAGCAGGGAGGUUUCUGGACUGUGAUACCACUUACAGAGGACCAAGAUUCAAGUAUUUCAGCCAGGCCAGGUGAGAAAAACCUGCACAGAUUCCAUCUGCAGCAUUUUUAAGAUAUGUGUGACAAAAAACAGCUUUUCUUUUGCAUCAAAAACAGCUUUGCUGCAAAAUAGCUUUGCUGCAUAAAUACAGACUGAGCCCCCGUGGGAUUUGAACAGAUGUAUUCUGCUGCUAAUGAAGGGCAGUCUGGAGGGAGCCCAAGGUUCACGAGUGCCCCAUGGCUGUGCCCUGAAGUCACUGUGGCUCUUCGCAGAGAACUGAUGGUGUAGAAAGUAGCUCUGUCGUGCAGGAAGAUGUCUGAUCCACACAGGGUCAGUUUUUCCCUCAGAUAUUCUCAUACAGUGUAUCACUGUAUUCUUCUAGAGUUUCUUGCUUCUCAGGUGUCUGCAGAAUGAUGAAAAGGAGAAAAAAGAAAUGGAGGAAAAUUAUUCAAAAGAAGAUGAAUUAAUUCUUAAUCAGCAGACACUGACGUUUGUUCUGUGAGAAAUGGCUAUAAGUGAUCUGUUGAAACGGAAGCUGCUGUGCUGAAAAAUGUUGCUCCAAAAGAGACGAACGUGACUAAUCCAGCCCAAGGGAUAAAGAUGCCUCCUUUACUUGUCACUCUUUGCCCAAAAAGCUGUCAGACAAGGAGGGGAGGGAAAAUUGGACUCAGUAAAAAAAUAAAUCACUUUGGAUUCUGUGAAGGAGGAAUUCCCUGACCUCCCCAAUCCUGUUUCUUCAACAGUUGAGUCUAUUCCUCACAACUGUUCCUUGUGUAGACAAGGCGCUGACAGACUGAUAUUUUAAGCGCCGCGUGGCACAGGCCUGCUGUAAGCAAGGUUAUACAGCGAGUAGUUGGAAUGCCAGAGGGUGAAUGGAGCCCUACCUACACUAGCUUCUUCUCCGUUGCCACCACCAAAGGGAAAUGUUCUACAAAAUCUGAGUGCAGACACCUCCAUAGCAGGAACAGACACUAGAGGAUUAACCCCUCACCACCCAGGCUGGCUGUCAGCGCAGUGCAACAGCUUGCAAAGGCUCUUGUUUCAAGUGCUCUCUGCGCUGUUUCACUUUACGUGCAGCAUCCUGCACCGAGGGCUGGCUGUGAUCCUCUGCAGCGAGUCUCAGCCACAGUUCAGCAACCCAAGCUUCCUGCUCCAGCCCGAACCCACUGACCUACAAGUUUUGCUCUUAGGAAAACAUCCUAUUAGGUUCUGACAUGGCCAGCUAGAGGAUGAGUAUCCCAAGUGGCCAGAGCCCAGGAUGAUGGAGUGGGAAGCUGAUCAAGAGGCUUGUCACUGCAGUGAGAAGCAUAGUCAAAUUAACCUGUGCAGAGAAGGCUAUAUCCCUUCGAGGGGAACCAAACUCAUUCCCGGCUUCUGUGAAACAACCUCAGAGAUUAAUAUAAUUCUCCCACCUUUUCCAUUUUAAAUCAUUGUUCGCUGCACAGAGAGCCCAAGGCCUUGGCAUUCUCUUCCAAUCCUCACAGCUGCUCCUACUGCAGAAGCUCCUUUCCACUCUCCUCACUUGGAGAGGAUAAGCCCUGAGGUGGGACACAGCGGUGGGGGUGAUGGAGCCCUGCCACUCACACUUCCCCAUUUCUGACCAGCAUGAAGACUGAACACACUCAGAAGUGUCUGCUCAUGGCAGUGAGAGCUCAUCCCAUCACCUCUCUUUGCUCUCUUCUCCUUUGUUUCUCCCAUCUCUUUUUCGAUCUUUACCUCUCCCCCGCUGAGACCACAAGAGCCAGACCCACUCGCACGCUCUUGCUUCGUUGCUUUGUUCCCACUCUGUUUUACAAGUCUGCUGGCCCCUAAAGCAGCAAUUCAGUGGUGUGGGCCACACACAGGUGAUUCAGCACAGCCCAGACAACUCCACGGUAGGAAAAAAGAUGUACUGCAUCUCCUCAUUCAGACCAAAUCAUUUAGAAGGGGGCAGCUGAUAAAGGUAUACAGAUAAAUAAUUAGGACAGAGAAGAGGAAUCCGGACUUACUGAUCUUCCUACCCAAUUAGUUCAAAAUGCAAGAACACAAGAACAGGGAUGCUGUCUCUUCCAGUACAUAAGAUGCACUGUGGUAUAAGACAGCUUAUAUAAAAGAACCUAUUCUUCCCUUCAGUAAUCAACUGCAGUAAUCAGAUACCUGCCACUGCCUCUGCUACCACCGCUUUAAAGGCACAGCACUAACUGCAGGAUGCCACUGGUGCUGGAAGCAGAACGCAUGCAACUAGCUCUCACAUGGAAGAAGGCACUUGAUUCUAUACCACUGGAUUUGUGAAAGUGCUUCACGCUGAAAAAUAUUGCCCUUCAUGAAACAGAGGGAUGGUGCCAGCUGAAGCUGGCGCAGGCUCCACACUGCAUAGUUGACCUGGAGAACUCUCUGCAGCAGGAUAUCAGAGGGAGACACAGGAGACGUUUUUCAGAAAAAUUUUCCAGUGUUAGAAGAGAGAACAUACUUUUUAAGUAGAUGAGAGUUCUGGAGGGGAAAUGAACAACAAAGAUCUGAGGGCAGGAAGGAAGUGUUCCCUGAGGUUUUGUCCCUAGAAACAUCUGAUACUUGUGCUAAGGGCAGGGUGCAGGGCUGCGUGGGCCUCUAGUCUACAUCAUAUGGCCCCCACAAAUGAUCCAUGCCUGCAUAUUCCAAGUUGCAGCUACUUUCAUUAUGAGUGGAUUCAGUUCCUUGUCUCUAACUCGUAACUAUCAGCCAAGCGAGAAGAUCCAAGACAUAGCCACACUGCCUUUUCCUGCCUCUGUUCAGACCACCUUACCUUCUUUUACCAGGAAAUGGCUCUCAGGUGCUUAAUGCCAGCCAGAGUAAAAUUGUGUUCCAGGUCUUCCCCUAGUGCACAGAUUCCUCUAUGCUGGAGGACUUUUUGGCUGCCUAAACAAUCUGGAAGGGGCAAUAGUGAGGGACAGCAUCUGGCCAACUCUCCAUGAAUGUCUGGGCCAUUUAGAGGGAGCAAUGCCAAACUUCUCAAUACCUUUCAGCAAAGCAUCUGCACGAAGCCAGGUCUGCCAGAACCAGUAACACUGAAGGAGCAGGGGUUCUGUCAGAAGCAGGAAGAUACACUACAUGUGCAGCCCAGCUGGUGAGUGGAUGUCACGUCCCAUUUUCCUCUUUCAAUGGGGCUGGAAGUGGGGAAAUAGCAGGCACAUUUACUACCUGCUAGGGCCGUGGUGCCUCUGAGUUUUCCAGCGCAUAAGGGAAUUCUACAAGAACACAGCCCCAGCCUUUACCUUGCCUGGAGGACUCUUUCUGUGUUGUGGGAUCUUCGUGUUGUUCUUGAGGACAGAAUAGACCUCAACUUGCUGCGAAUCCAGGCACUGGAAAGGGAAGAGAGAAAAGGGUAGGGUUCACAUAAAAUGCUUAGGUUUAAGCACGCCUGAUUCCUCAUCUCGUGCCUGCCAUUUCUGAGGAACCUGACCUCCAAAAUUCUGAAGUUCCUGUCUUGCACAAAAAUAAAAUCAUUUUUGCCCUAAAACUUCUACAGUGCAGCUUCAUCACCUUCCUUUUUCAGGCUGAUAGACACAGGUUAUGACAUUACCUAUCCAAUGUAAGGCAGAAGAGAACAAUGCCAAUGCCCCUGCUUCCCUCCAAAUUGUCACAGAAUGCAAAAGAAAGACCUCUCUGCCUGUGGUGCACAAAGGGAACCAUGGGUAACAGGCAGCAAGCUGCAUCUCUCAAGACUGUUUGGGUGCCUAACAGCCAGAGGUUCUUGCACUUGGUUGUUCUGGGCACACAGUGAUGAGAAGGGAGGCUAGUCUGGGGUCCUGAAGUACACAGCUGUUGAAAACAGGAAAUCCUACAAUAGGCAUGAUUUCUGUUUAUUGCCUGGUAUUUUUUUUUUUCCAAGCUAGAACUGUCUUUUCUUCUUAGAGUGAGUAAAGAAUAAUAAUAAUAAUAAAAAAAAUCAAUGCACUUGCAGGCCCACAGAUAUAUCCGUGGUCCCACACCGAUACAGAGAAACACACACACGUUCUACAUGUGUAUGCACCCGUUGGUCCCCCAGGUAAUCAUGUCACAAGAGAUGCAUGUCAGUUUGAGUGAUGUUCCAGAUCUGCCUGAAGGAUCAAACAUAACAAUCAGGAGGACUUUUCCAUGUGUGUUUCAAGGAUGACAGCAGGUUGCCAAGGUGGCUGUUUCUCUGGCAACAGGAAGAUGGGAGGAGCUCAGCCUUAAGAGGGGCAGAUGGUAUUAGUGGAGAGACUGUGAAGGGAGCAAGGCCGCCUACAGUACAGCAAAGGGGACCAGCAAAAUACAGGGGCUUUCUCCUGGGACUGCCAGUCAUCUGACCCCCAUCGUUUCAUCUGGAGUUCGGCAUCUUUCUGGAUCAUGGCCAGCAGGACUGUGGUUUGAACAGGACAAGAUGAUAGUGGAGCAGUAUUUGGAAAUGGGGCUGGGAGCAAGCCCCCAUUAGGAAGGGGCCACAGUGAAAGAAGCUUCAUGUGGCUCUCCCGUUUCCAGUCCUCCUCCAGAAGAAGUCAAAGUACUUCACUUAUCCACGUCUCUCUCCCAAGAUCCUACUUGCCUGGAGCACACAUUCCCAACUACUUCUGCGUGCACAUGCGUGCACAGAAAAUCCCAUUUCCCUUUCCUCAUUUUCAGUUCUCUCUCUGAUGCUUGCAGUGAGGACCUUGUCCUGUGUGCUGUGCUCCCAACAGCCUGGCUCUGCGUCCCAUUGACAUGACGGGCAGCCUUUUUCAUUGCUCUAGUCCAAAGCCACUCGUGAGCAAGAGGUAUCCUUUUAGUGCUUCAACUCCAAAGAGGUUCCCUCUUUCUGCAAACCCUCCUUCCCACGGAGGCUCCCGACAACGCUUUGCUGGCCAGUUGGAAGGCUAGUGUCUCCAGCUGCCAUUUGCAAAUCAAUUACUUGUACACGGUCACUGAGCACCUGCUGUUGUCGCAGUGGUAGCACACAGGCCUCUCCUCCCUGCUGGCAGAUGCCUUCUCAAAAAGCUCCUGUGCUCUGGAACUCACCUGCGCUGCAGGAGCUCUGUUUGCUGCUGAAAAAAAAGGCUUGUUUGAAGUGCAAAGCAGGAGAAGCAAGGCCCUUGGAUUGAUAUUUCCAAGCUGCUCAUUAACUAGGCAGCUAAGCUGGAAGAUGGAGGGAAAUACAGGCUUUGGUCUGGGUGGUGCGAUGACCUCCUCUGGGGCUGCAGGAGGGUGAAGAGGCCUUGUAGUGCUUGGCAGUGUAGUGGAACAAAGCAGGUGUCCAGCUGCCCCACUACAGGGACUUUGUACUAGCUCAAGCUGCUUUUCACUGCAUACACUCUCCCUUAGGGACCAUAAGGUGACACCUGGAAGAGAUGGUGGGGAGCGUGUUUGCUCCUAGCGAUGUGCAGCAGAAUGGCUUUGCAGAAGGUAUGCUGGGAGCCCUUCUGUGCCAGGGGCAAGCCUUGCUGCCAGGGAAGAUAGCACAGACCAUUUAACAAGCUGCAUCAGCCAGCUCCAAGCCCUUGCCUGUAUGUCCAGUCCUGCUGUCUGCUGUGUCUGCUCCAAGCUCCAGGCCCACUGUGGCUCCCUGACUUUUUUCCAGACUUGAACCUUCUGCUUUCCCCCACAGACAGCACAUCUGGCACAUGCUGGCCUCCUAUCCCUUCACCUAAUCUCUGAUCUCCCUCUUUAUCUCAUCAGUAGAAGUGACUUUCCAUUCAGAAGUGACUUGCCUUAGCUUCCCCCAGAGCUGACCACAGAUAGAAAUCUGUCCCUCCCUUCCCCAGGAAUUAAGCACUAUGUGUUCAGCAACCCAGUUGAACACCAACAGUAUUUCACAGAGCAUGUGUUCCAUCCCAGGGCUCACCCUCUCCUCCCCAUUACGUUUCCCAUAACAUCUCAGAGCUCUGCUCUCACCGUGCACUGUGUCUGCUGCAGGAGUUGCUGCCUCAUGCCUGAACGAGUCACAGCAGCUGCACUGUGGGGCAGGCUCACACCCCAUGGCAUACAUGACAUGAUUUUGAGGCUGCCUGCCGCUCUGCCAAAGAGGGCUGAGCUGCCUGCCCUGCACACUGGGCUGGCUGCAAGCCCUACACAGCUGGCGUGCAGCUAAUGGGCUAUGGGGGAAGGCUGGAUGGGCCAGGUCCAUAGGGCUCCUGGAAGCGCAGGAUCCCAGCCAGCUACCGGGACUGCCUCUGCCUAAGGUUGGCUCUGCUGGCUUACUGCAUUAGCCUUAGUGGGGCCUCCUGAACAGAACAACAUGAUGAAACAUGUAAUUAAGAUGGAGCUAAGGAUGCAUGACGAGGCCGACUGAGCGAGAAAUGGAUUUGAAUUUUUUUUGUCUCCUUGCAGAAAUCAUCCACUUCAGCAGGAAGCUACCCAGUCGGAUUUUUAAAAGACAGAAUUAAAAAGAAAUUACUUGAUAUAAACGAAAAGGUUUAUAACCUGCAACAUCCUCUACCCAAAGCAUUUCUUUUUACCCAGAAUAAACACAUCACAUACAAUAUAUAGUGCUUUCUUUUAAACCUCCAUUCCAGAAAUUGAAGGGCCACAAAGCAGUGCCCCCCACUCAGCGAAGUGUGAACAAGAAGGGGGCAGGCCUGCCCUUGCCUUCACAUCUGCCCCCUAUCAGAUUUCCAUGCCUCUUUGGCAGGGCUUUGCUCCUCUCUGCAGUACAUUCUCCAGAGCUCUGCUUUGUUUAGUUUAAAUGAUUCAUGCAGCUGAGCUUACAGGUUUUCCUUGGAGAGACUUUUCCAGCCCUUACAGACCUCACAGUCAGAAAGGUUUCCUAAUAUUCAGGCAACAUCCUUCUCUACUCACUUUCAUUUCAUUCCUCCUCAUUUGUCCCACAGACCAUGUGGAAAAAAAAUAAAUGAAAUAAAUCAUUCCCUUCUUAGCAAAGCAACCCUCCCAUGGGAGUUAAAGGAAAAAAAAAAAAAAAGGAAUACAUUUUAAAUGGAACUGGAUGGGCUGUAAAUGUGAUUAGGGGUCAUGGCUACUUGAGGUAGUCAAGGUCUGGGCUUGACGUUUCAGGAGAGCCACUCCAAUCCUAUUACCUAUGACACUGCCACUACUGGGCUCAAAGAGUGGCAGCAGACGGUGCUCUCCAUUCUGGGGAAUGGAGAAAGGAGAUGGGCUGCAUUCUAAGCAGUGGAAAGGGAAAUGCUCCAAAAAAAGUAUCCUUUUGCUUUCUUCCUGUCCUCUUCCUCAGACUGCUAGUCAGCCAGCUCAGCACUGCAGUGGUCCAUGCCACUGACACCAGCAAAGGUAUCACAGCAGAACCUCUAAAAAGUUGUUGGUGGGAGAGUUUCUCUCUCUGCCACUUCUCUGAGUCAUCAAUCUCCAUCUGAGAAAAGCAUGUCCUUGAGACACUUUGCACUACAAGCAAGGCUGAGCUCCAGUCUUCCCUUCUGACUUCUGGAGGCCCUUCCACCUCCAGUGCCAAGAGCUGUCUCUGGCCCCAUGCUCGCUGCUCAAUUAUAUGCUGCUGGCAGAGGGAAGGGUGCUGCCCACCAGCACAGGGCAUGGUGCAAGGCUUUGGCACCGGGAACAGGAUGGAGACAUGCACAGUCCUGAGGGGAGCUGAACAGGGCAGAGCGCAGAAAUGGGGUUGCCAGCCAUAUAGGUAUCACUUCUGUUGAGAUGGAAGGUGAUUCUGAUACUCACGUCAUAAACAGGAGAAGGUGGUGGUGGGCUUGCUGAAGGAGGCUGUGUUCCUGUCUGCAGUCUCCUGAUAUUUAGCUGGUUCUUCUUAGGACACAAUAUCUGCUCGGGACAAGACACAGAAUUAGACAUUUGGAAAAAAACCACCAUUUCCCCAAGGAUGAAAUGAAUGCCAGUGUCACAUCAAAGCCAGCUGCCAACACACCCUCCGAGUACUUGCACAGUAUGGAACGAUGGCAUUCUGCACAAUGCAGGCCAGUCACUUUUCUCACCGUUGAGUGAAAGGAAGGAGUCUGACAACUGACACUGAAGCACUGGAAAGUAAAACUGGGCUCUGUCCGUAUAUAGAAAUCAGCUCUACCCCUGACAGAGGGAAUAGGUAUUUAACAGCACGUACAAUGCUGUAGGAUAGGGAAUAAAGCAGGGCCAUAUUCAAAGUGCAAGAGGAAUUUCAGAGAGUGAAUGCAGUGAUUUUUGUGAGCUGGGAAGAUGUUGCGAAUACACAGAGUCUAGAGAAAAGCACCAGGCAGGCACUAAUGAUGACAUAUAGUCAGUGAUACACUAACAGGCAGGUCCAGCACGGAGUUAUGGAGUUGAAGGAAGAAAGUCUUUUCCUCUGAAAUGUUGCUCACAUCGGAUGGCUUCUCCUUGAAUAUGCUUCAUUCAUGCACAGGUAAGGGUUAGCACUGCUCAGCAAGCAAAAGAAAGAGGCAGAGAAGGCAGAAAGCUUUGCUAAGUAUCUCUGUUUUAAUUCAGAAAGAAGUGGGAUGAUUAUAUUCACAUCACAUGAAAACGAUGAACUGCUUUCCAGUCCAUUAGUAACUAAGGAGGAUGCUAAAUAGCUUCUCUUAAAGAUAAACAUUUUUAAACCAGCAGGUCUGAGCAAGCUGUGGUGAGAAAUAUGGUCUGUGUUCAGCAGGAGGGCAAAUGUAAUGACUGCAUGAUCUCUUCAGGCCCCAAGGAGAGCCUGUAGGUCUGAGACUUGCUGGCCUGCCUCAAAGUCUAGAGAUGCCAACUGGCAAGCUGUGAAGUGCCUCCCUCCUAUCCCCAUGGAGAUGCUGUCUAGGCAGGCAGAGGUGGGGGCUCAUCUCCAGCCUAGUCACUCUGCCUCCAACUCCUUCCCCCUCCAUCUGCCUGCCUGCAAGGUAAAUCUCACGAGAUUUGCAGGUCUGCCAACUGCUGCCACUCUGUGUUCAAUCUCACUAUCUCUGACUGUGCAUGCUGAAGCCUGAUGCUCCUUGGAGCCAAAGGUCUGCAUCAGCAACAUCGCUUUCACAUAAAAACACGUGCACAGACCCUGCUGCUGUAAUGGCAGAGGGCAGCUUGACAGAGUAAAUACGAGUGGAUACAAUACCUACACAAACAUCAUUCCCUAAAUUCAGUUCUCAAAUACAUCGGGUCUAUUCAAGCCAGCCUUAAGAUAUCUGAAAGACUGCAAAGGAACAUCUGAGAGUAGAAGUAAGGAACAGUAGAUUUCACCUGGCCAACAGAGAUUCCAGUAUUAAAACUUCAAAGUUUAUUCCACAGGGCUCCAGACUCAUUUAGACCUUUUAGUCCUACUUUCAGCUCUUCUUCUCCUGCUCUACACCUCUUUUAUUCCCCACUUGUGGUUUCCCCUUUACCCUCAGUUCUUUCUCACCCAGAUGGUUCCAGCCUGUGCUACUGGCCUUCUCAACCAAGGGUCCCUGUGAGCCCAGUCUUAAUACCCUCCUCCAGGCUCUUGUGCUUCCUCACUCUGGCUCCCAGUCCCAAUUUCCAUCCCAAGUCUCCUCAUUUCAGCCUCACAGAACCGCUGACAUUGGAAGAUGCCUCUGGACUUUGUCUAGUCUAAUCUGCAGCCUGCUCAGAAUCAACUUAGGCAGGCUGCUCAGAAUUUUGUCCCUCUUUUUACUCAGUCAGCUGUGACCUCUAGAAAGGCUUCCUUGGGAUCCUUGUCCUGACCUUCCCCUUUAACAUCACUUCCUAAUGUUUGCUCUGCAAAGCAUAUGCUUAAUAUUCUAGUCCCCAUCCCCUCCACUCUGCAGACUCUUGUUUUCUACAGUACCCAACCUAUGGCUCAGGACUGCAGUUGCAGUUUCCUUUCAUCAGGUUGUGCCUUUGCACCAGAGUAGUCCCCAUCUUGAAAAAGGAUUAGAAAUGGGGAAAGCCCUGCUCUCCCUCCAUACUGGAACUGCAACAGAUGCACAAGACACAGGACAUGCUGAGUGGAAAGGCAGCCUUGCAUGGCAUCCCUUAGACAACUGAGCUGCUAAAUUGACAAGAGCCACAAACUAAGCAUGCACGAACUGCAAUUUUCCAAGGACCCAUCACAAGGCUACACCUGCUUGAAUAUUCUCAGGGCCAGCCCACUGCUGGUGUGACUUCUCGCCCCGUGUCAGAUCUUUGCUCUAUAGCAGAGCAUGCCAAAGUCAAAAUGGUUAUUAGAAUUUAUUUAAUGGACAAAUCAAUGACUCGCUUUAUCUUUUCUGUGAUCUUUUCUCUCAGAAUGACUGAACUUAGAAAAAGAAAAUAAACCUGAGGCAGACACUCAGCACGGAAAAUUUCAGCACGGGGAGUUCCAAUCCAGCCAAGUUAGAAGCAAGUGAAAUAAAUUCCUAGAAUGGGUCAUGUCAGGUAUUGCUUUUUAUUUGGUAAUAACUUGCCUUUCUUUUCCACACUAGCAGAGCUGUUGCGGUGAUGCUCAGUGCAGCCAGAAGAGCGGUAAGGGUAAUGAGGAUUUCUCGCCCAUAAGAGGUCUGUGCAUACCCUGUACCUGUGGGAAAGAAAGCAAGAGAUUCAUACUGUGAGCAGAAAUUAUGCUUCUCCUGUUUUAAACUCUGGCCAAAAGUCCUAGGAAGUUUAAAAUAUAGAAGCAAUACAGAGGUUAUAAAGAUGCAUAUAUGCUUCUUAACACAGUCUGAUUGAACAGAUAGUAGGGCACAGCUGGAGGAUCAUACAAAGGAGAUGAGAUAUGAACAGCUGUGCUUCACGUAGAUUAGAGGGAGGUGACAUAAAUAUGGCAGCCAAAAAGGCUGGUAGGUAGUUAGAGGUUGGAAAAGGUCCUGAGUGAUAAGGGGAGAAAGAUAGAUGGUGGAAAGCACCACCUACAUGAAAGAGCGAAGUGGGUACUGCAGGUACUGCAGACAUCCCCUGACCAGUGUAGCAAAGCUUUUUUGUCGUGGCUCUUCACAUUUACCCUAAGUAAUUCUUCAUAUCCAGUAUUCAAUAAUACAAAUCUAGCCAAUCAGCAGCAUGCCCGUUCUUGCCAUAUUUCUAUAGCAUUGCUCUGUUCUUGGCCUGAAGGUCUCCCUUGUCUCACUGUGCAGCAGUGGAACAACGGAAACCUUGUAACCACGUGGAAAAAGGGGAGGGAUUGGGGCGAGCCCCUAGUCUGACUGUGAGCCCCCAACAGUCAGCACCUAGCCUGUACAUCUGAUCACAGUGAGCACCAUAACCACUUACUUCAUUUUCAUCCAUCUCUGUCACAGUGAUAAAGGCCAAACCAUGCUGUGUCCUGGACACUGACACUAAAAACACCCUACCCGGUCCCUGUUUAGACCCUGAUUUUAAGGCUGGUGCUCCCAAGUGCCUGUGGAGGGUAGAUAGAAAUUACUGCAUAUUCAUGUUACCACCUGUAAAUUGGGAACAAUGGCACGGGUAACCUGUGUAAAACAUGCUCAACUGUGAUGCCAUUAAAUAUUGGGUAUUAAGCAUUACUCCUAUCUGACUUUAUAGCUUGCUUGGGUAGAGGAAGAAAAGAGUAAAGAUCAUAUUUUCGUAGUAAAAUCCAGCUGAUUUUUAACUGUGCACCCUUCCUUUCUGGUUGUUCACUUACCUCUAACAAGGACAAACACUCCCUUUCCCUUUAUCUGGAUGCCAUCCCAUUCGACUUUGCAGUAGUAUGUGCCAGUAGAAGAGGUGCUUUCAAGCGGCUUUGUUUCGUGACUGUAAGAUCUGAUGGCAGUCUUAUUCUCUUUUCCAGGAGGAAUAUCUACUUGUUCUUUCUUAUUAUAGAUGGAUACUUCCUGGUCCUGUGCAUUAAUCCAGUAAUAGAAGAUUGUAAAUCUGGUGUAUUUCAUUGUGUACAGGAAGGUGACUUCACAGGGGAUGGAUACUUUUUCCUUAAGCAGUGCAACUUGGAUUACAGGUUUCUGCUGUACACUGAGAUCUCCCCCUGUAAGGGUGAUAAUUGUUAGCAGUCAUCUAACAUUACCGUAAGUCAGGAGAAAAUUGCUGCCCCAAAGACACGAUCAGAUGGUGAAAAUAAAUGUAUGCCGAGAAGCAUGUCUAGAGCAAGCAGUGUUGGCCCUUGUCAGAAACUGAGUGAUGCAGAGCACGUGCCCCUUGUGAUCUGCCACAUCUCUUAGGUAAUUGCUGUGUGAUUUGAGAUAGCCUGUUGCAAUCACAGGCUUCCCCUUUUCCCUUGUGAGCUCCUCUGCACAACGCCAGCGUACAGAAAGACAGGAAAUGAAGCAGGAAGUGAACUGAUUUUGCACUGGUGUGAGAGACUACUUACAAAUUAUGAAAAAGAAAAGCAAUUUUCUAUGAGAAACACUAGCUGGAUGUUUUCUGUAACUCUUGAGUUACAAUCCUCUGCUCAGGUGUGUACACCUGCACGUGAUCACUCUGUGCCAGCAAGAAGAUGUUGUGUGCAAGCAGGUGCAUCUGUGGAACUGUGUGUCUCUGAAACAAGAGUGAGGAAGGAAAUUGCAUACUGUGCGUGGGGCCCAGCACUGGGGCCACGAGAAAUAAGACACAGCUUAAUCACUCCCAACUUUUGCUGCCGUAAAUGGGCAGCAAAGCACAAGAGUGGUUGCUAGAUGCAGGAACUAUUUGUGGAAGACUGCACAUCUUAAAUAUCUACAUGUGACAGUAUCUCAUGCAGAGAGAUGGGAGAUCAUGCCCUUCAUGUGCUUCCUCCUUACUUAGGUCUGUUGAAAGCAAUCUGUCACUGCAACUCAGUAGGCAAUGGUGUAGGGAGUUACAAGAGAGGAUGAACAAGCACAGAUGGGGAACCACACCAGAGUUUGCUCUCUGUUUUGUAAAAUAAAAGGAAAAAAAAAAAAGCUAAGAGUGAGUCUAGUAAAGAGCCUGGGAUAUAGGAUCACUUGGCAUCCCAGCCAAAUCUGGAUUUAACAUCAGACUCCGGAUCCAUUUAUUUGGUAGCUGAUAGAACACCACAAAAAAGCCCUUUAAGAGGAGGCCUGUGCAAAGCAUUGUUGUACUUAAAAAAGGGAAAAGAACUGGAAACUUGCAUUCAAGUUUUGUCACAAAACGAUGGAGUCAGGAUUCUUUCACAGACGUGAAAAUAAAAGGGGAAAAAUACAGAGAGGUAAAGUAGAGCUUUUCCAUUCGUGGUUUUGAUGGCACUCUCUGGGGUUCAGCAUCUAUGAAUAGGAUCAUAACAAGGCAUUAAAAAAGUGGUCCCAGAACACAGCCAGGCUUGCUUUCCUGUCAUCAUGCAGUAAUGCUGCAUCGGAACAGCAGUAUCCACCUCUGUGUGAAGGGACCCAGCAUCGGAAGAGGCAACCCUGACAAUGCUACUGAAUGCAGACUACUAAGGAGAAUUGAGGGGUGGAAUGACAGAAGGAGGGCACAACCACUGUCCAGAAAAGACUUCAGGGAAGUAACAUCAGUUAAAGAAAAUUAAGGAAAAUCCUCUACAGAUGACAUAGCCAAGUACAAUAGCCUAAGAGUAAGGAAGAGCUUAGGUUACAUCAUUAGAAAAGGGUUCUUGGCUGUAAAAGCAACUAGGAUACAAUGAAGUCCCGAGGGACAUGGUCUUUGUGAGUGCACAGUCCUGUGUGCACUAGAUAUAAUGUUAUGGAAAGAAGGCAACAGAAAAUCCUGCAGUCACAGUGGGAGCGAUAACCUGAGUAGUCUCUUCUGGGCCUUAUUUUCUAAAAUAAAUCACCAUCCUUCUCCUCAUCUCUACCCAGCAGAACACACAUGAAUGCAGUUUUUAUACAAGGCACUGUAAAGCAUCGCUGUAAAAAAGCAGAGGAGAGAUCCAUCUUCUUACAGUAUCCCAGGAGCCAUUAGUUUGAGAGGAACAUGCCAGGGAAAAAGCCAAACCAUUUUAUUUAGGUUAUAUAACCCUUCUCCCAUGUUCCCCCUUUCUUAAGGACUCUCUCUCUGAGCUUUGAAAUGCCUAAAAGACAGAAAUAGCAGCAGUGUGCAAAUUCCUAGAGGGGAGCUCUGGAAAUUAGCAAAAGAUAGCAGCUGGAAAUGCUCUAAUAUGAACAAACGUGCGAGUAAGCAGAAGGGAAAAAAAAAAAAAAAAAACUUUUUUACCUCCAUAGUGAAGCAACCAAAGAAACAGGAAGAUGACUUUUAGAUUAGAGCCCAUGGUAAGGUCAAAAGGCUGUAAGGAAGCAACCAGAUAUGAAGAUCCAGAAGGCAAAAAGAGAUUGUAUUUCACGAGGUCUUCCUGCGCCGGAAAGGCUGUUUGAUCCCCUCCCGUUUGUGCAGGGACAGGCGGGACAGACACACGCUGCCUUUGGCAAGCUGUUCCUGGCACAUGCAACCUCUUCUGCUUUUCUGUCAGACUCCUCCCUGCACUGUGGUGCAUUUCUCUAUACUAUUAUCACGGUGUUAUAUCUACCAGCAGGUGUCAAAAGAUUAGACUAUAAGCUCUUUAACGCACAGAGCUUUGUCUUCCAAUGACCAUAAAACAUCACACGCACUUAAAGCAAACUUUGUCACCUUCUGUAGUGACCAAAGCCCCACGUUGGAAUACAGAGAAAAACGUGCUUUGACUGAUGCAGCUUGAGGUCAUUUGAGGUAAACGUGGUCAAAUUCAUUCAACAAGUCAACUGAUUCUGGAGCAAUGGACAAGCUUAAAAGUGGCACAUUACCAUAAUUUUGUAGGAAUUUGUUUAUACAGUUGUUUUGGAACAGCUAUUCCUGACUACCUCACUGCACUGACUAUCCAGAUUUUGAAAUAAGGGCACUUCAAAUUCUCCUACUCAAGUGGCUACUGUGCAGUGCCAGAGGGUGUGGGCUCACAGCAGAGGAGCACUAUCAAACUAAUUCUUUAUGUGGCUACUUGGGCAUGAGAUCACCUGUUUUGCCUUCAAAAUGGGAAACAAGUACCUGCACCAGCAGUCAGCACAGAGAAACAGCCCUGCUGCACUCCCUGCUGCCCAACACUUCCCUCCACAGGUUAGGUUACUUCAGAGAAAGGCGCUCGUAUUGCAGAAGUGAGAACAACCAGACAGUGCAUUCAUCCGUAACAGCUGUGAUGUUUCAGAUUCACACGACGCUGGCUCUGAACCGGCUUCGCACUGCAGGCAAACCUUAAAAAAAAUCUAUUGUAGGGAAAUGUAAGGAGAGCCCUUUGAAGAAGAAAACCCUCUCUUUGUGGGAGGAUCCUACUGCCUACACUCACAAAGAGUCUUUGAUUUCAAUGAAAGCUUGUUUUUAGCUAAGACAUCUGCAAUGCAACAGCUGAGCGGUGUCUGACUCAAAAAACCCUGGUGUCUGAGAGGUCUUUGCUUCUCUCUAGAGAAGUCCUUUUAGACUUCUUGAGACACAUGUGCACUGACCACAAGAAACCACUCUGCUGCAACUUCAAGGGUUCCCACUCACACUGGGUGCUGCACUGUGGCAACUGGUGGGGGAUAGCUGUGCUGUCUAAGACCUAGAUGAGCCUGUAGAUUGUGCAUAUUCAAAAAUCACCCUGUCUGUUGAGUUUGUAUGAGCAAGACUUGCUCCAAAACAACCUUCACUUCAUAGCAUUUUUCCCCUGUUCAACCUGGGACAGGUUCUCAGGAGGAAGGGGUCUUGACACAGGGAGGCUGUGCACAGCUGCGGCUGCUCUAUUCCCCUGGGCCCGGGGCCAGCUUCAGUACCUUGAGGAGAGCCCUGACAGAUGGGGAGAGGAGCAAGUGGCUUUGUGUGGCUUUGCGAGGCUGGUGCAGCAGCUGCACUCCUCCAGGGAAGGUUUAGCUCAGAUUAGCCAAGAGGAACUCCUCUCCCCAAGACACACUGAUAUGAGCUGCACAGGGCUGGUCUCAGCUGCAAAUUGCUCCUCACAGGUCUUAACGCUGAGCAGCAAGGACAAUCAAGAGCGGUAACAAGACACUGGGGGCCUACUUGGUAUUUCAGAUAUGUAGGCACAGAUCAGGCAGCUGUGGCUCUGGGGGGAUGUGGGGUCACAACCAUGCUCAACAGCACUGCUCAGGCCUGAAUUGCAUCUUCAAGAUAGCUGGGGGAGGGAGGGAAUAGCUACCUUCCUAAGGAAGAGUUCUGCUGAACAGUGAGGGCCUCCUCAGCUCUUAUAUCACACUCAUCCCCAUGGUAGCACAGCUUUGCAAUUUCCAGCAAUGAUGUAUUUCUAGAGGACAGAACGUGCUGCUCCUGUCAGUGAUGUGUUUUAACUGUUAUCAGCAUUUAUCUGCUUCAGGAAUUCAGAGUGAUAAGUGGAUUAAGUGCGGUAGGUUUGUAGGGCUGCUAGGUCAACAUCCUCCUUCUGUCCUUUCCCUUCUCUUCCUAUAAACAACCCUGUUGCCACUCUAAAUGCCAAGUCCUAGAAAUACUGCUGUCUGGAAUUUUAAGAAAUAUAUAGUUCUGGCAUUUCAAAAGAGGUCACAUGUAAGACUCUGCUCUAGGAUUACUGGCACGGCAGGCCAGAAACACAUUCUCUGCUGGAAUUUGCUAUGGGUAGUGCCUGCUGAAAAGAAAUGGUUUUGAAAUGACUACCCAGCAACUAUUAACAGGGUAGUAUUCUGUUUCCAAGAGCCUAAAGGGAGCCUGAAUCUUUGAAUAUUAAAUUAUAAUUCCAUUGGUUUGGGGGAUUCUGGACUGGAGACAUAGAUGGGAGGAAAAUGAGGGACAGCGGGGGUAUUUUAUGUUUCUAUAACCAGCCUGGAGCAGGACUGAUCCUCCUGAAACUCAGGUGGAACAAACCAGGACACCUGUGCCAAAGGAAAAAAAUUACAAAGUUCCUAAGGAAUGGGCCAUUGUAGGACUUGCACCCAUACAUUACACAGUACGCUGCUGCAUGUGAGUUGGUCCCUGCUGCAUGAGAAGGGAACUGUUUGUCCCAUUCCAGGUUGGUCGGGAUCUGUAAGUUUGGUCCUUCCUUUAAUGCACCAAAAGUUGACCACUUCCUGAGACCAAAUACAGCACUGGGCCAGAUGCUAGCAACAAUUUCUGCAUGUGGCUGGAAAGCAUCUAUUAAUUUCAUUCAAGCAUUUUCAAAAGCUCAUGACAGCGGCCAGCAUUCCCAACAGUGAGGAAGAGCACAUCAUUCUGGCGCUCGCGAGCAACAAGUUUGGGCAAGUGCUGAACCUACCAGAAUUGCCUGUUCACAGCUGUGUCCAAUGUAUACCCAAAAGCAGCGGCACACACACGUGCCCACACAUGCCCCCACAGCCAACUCCAGGGAAAGUAUUUAUUCCAACAAAAAGACUGCUGCUAGCCAAGGCGAAAGCAACGUUGCAGAGACCACAACAAAGCCUCUUUACUGCCGUAGCGUUUAACACCGCAACCAGCCGUAAGAGAAACACCGCCUGGCGCAGAGAUGAGCUGCAGCAAUUCAACAAGCCUGACUGCAGCGCCUGCCUGAGAGCGUUUCAGAGCAUUCCCCAGCACAGCAGCUCUGGAUUCGCUGCCUUGUCAGAGACCAGCUCAAUCCCCCACCGCUGCAAACCCAGCCAGCGGCAAUGCAGACACGCACCUCCGAGGAUUCGCAAUCUCUUUGACUCCUCUAACCCCGGCCUCUGUGGCUUACAGCUUCCCUCUGGCUGGUGGUAAGAGCGAUAGGAGAGCUAGAACAAGCAGGGCUUUACCUCUGCCAGCAUUUUACCACCGCUCUGUGUCGAGUGCCUCUCAGCAGGACUGGAUGAUGCUGAAGAAAAAGCUGCCAAUGCCCUCGCUAGAUUUCUACCAGUUGAACUGCUCCAGGGAAGAGAACAAUCAGCAACUAGAAGGGAAACCAGAAAAAGAAAGGUGUUGACACCACCGUAGGGAAAGGAGGGGGUGCUUUUAUGAUUCCCUUUCACCAACAAAAUGAGUCUGCCUUGCAAAUCAUUCUGCUUCUGCUCUUUUUCUGUUGCUUUACUGGAAAGAAUCCCGGGGACUGAAUUAUCACCAGGCGCCUGAUGCGCUCGUAGGGGCUCUCGCUUCAACCUGGCAGCACUCCCUGCAGCUCCCCUCCACAUCCCUCCUUUUGUAGCCUGCAUGAGAAGCCGGCGGGCGAGGGGGAUUUCACCUCCAAGGAGUCCUUUGACAUCUUCCGGGGAAAAAAAAAAAAACAACAAACAACAAAUAAAUUCCACAUGGCUCAUACCCAGAGCCCUCCAGGCUGUGGGAAACACGGGUGAGCAGGAGAACGCCUGGAUGCCACAGCCCUCGCCCCGGGCGGGAGACAACGAUCAGAGUGACCACAAGCGCUGCUCGCAGGUUCCCACCCGCUCCGAGGCAGCUGAAUGCUCUGCAUUGGAGCAGCGGGGCCAGCACCUGCCUCUCCGGACGCAGCACAGCUCCCUGCACGCCCACAGCCACGCAGGAAAGCCCUGGAGGGCGGCGCCGUUGCCCGUUGCCCGCUGCCCGCGCCCUCACCCACAAGAUGGCGCCGUCGCCCCGGCUCGCGCCUCCCUCAGCCCCGCGCCCUGCCCUGUGGUGUCACGGAUGCAGGUGCCGCGGCGGGCUCACGCAGGUCGCUGAGGAGGCAGAACGUGCAAAAAGCAGACGUCGUGCUGGUUUCACCCCGUCCUGCCCCGUCCCUUCCACACACAGAGGUGCCGGCAGUGCCCUGGGUGCCCCCUGUCACCGGGAACCACCGCGUUCCCCAUCCCAAGCUCUCUGCUCAGCAGCUUCCCAGCCACAGCGCCAGAGAAAACGAGCACAACUAGGAUCCAUUUAAGGCGAAAUUAAUGCUAAUUAACUGUAACCAACAACUCGCAGUGCAACGUUUACUCAGCAUGCUGCAGCUAUCACCGUAGCGGUUCGCCCGUGAGGCGAAGGUGAGCAGACGGCGGGAUGCGGGAAAGGAAAACGAACCUUACCCCGGGCACCAGCACAGCUGCAGUGCUGGGAGGCCAACCCUGUCCUGCCGCCCCCCCUUCUCACCUCCCUCCCUCACCACUGCAGCCCUGGGAGACCUCAAUUCCCCUCACGUGGCUCUUGCUGUUGUCCCAGCCCUGUGUGACUGGAGUGGACCUGGGGGUGGCAGCCCCCUGGCACACGGGGUGAGGUGUGGGGGCCAAACCUCGUUUCAGCCUGGCAUGGUUUGUCAGCCGCUCUCGGAAGCCAUCCCUCCUACGCUGCGGGCACAUUGGAAACUCUUGCCAGCACUGGGGUGGGGGGGGGAAGUUUUAUUAUGAAUGAGAUUUCUCAACCUCCAGAGGCCUUCUGACAGCGAGUGUGGGCUCCUGGCUGGGUGCUAGGCAAGAAAACAGAGAUGAUCUGUACUCUGAUUUUUCCUGGGAAAGCUUCUUAUGUACUUUCCGCCCCUAGCAAAGCACUACAAAGUGCUAUCGGUGAUGCCAUGGGGCAGGCACAGGGAGGGUUAUGUAGAGCAAGGUGAUGGGGCAGCCAGUGGCCACAGGACCCGUCCCUGCCAGCCUUGCCAGGUGGCCCUUAUGGCUGAGCCAGUUGGCUGUGCCAGGCCCAGCUCCCCAAGCCUUGGCAAGCUGCAGCUUCUGCUUGCCAUCAGGUACCUUGCCAUGCCCCGCGGUGUGCCUGCAGCUGCACCGCACUCCAAGCUCAUUCAUUUCCAUAAAGUCUCUGUGCUCCCCUGUGCCUAGCCAACAUCGUUCCCCACCAGCUCCUUCAUUUUUCUUUUUUUCCCUUCCUUUGAGAAUCAAAGAAUCAUAGAAUGGCUUGGGUUGGAGGGGAUCUCAAAGAUCAUCUAGUUCUAAUGUCUUUUAAAGUCUUCCAUUCUUCCUUUCUUUCUUUCUGCUUAGCCAGGGCCCUGUUCUUGCUGCUCUUCCUCUGGCGGCUUUCCAGCCAAGGGACCUGCAGCAAUCAACACCACCUCUAAGCCAGCAGCCACCCAGCAGCAAACAUGUGCAUGCGGUCACAGUCUGCAUUGGGUCAGCACUGCUCUCCCCAUGUGCAGCAGGCCUCCGCCAGCUCCUGGGAGGAUGGCCGGGAAGGGAUUAAGUAGCUAAGUAUCUCACUGGCAAGUGAAGAUGGCUUUCUUUUCUGUUAAUUCCUGAGCUUUGCUUUUAUCGUGAACUGUGCAGAAUACACAGGCUGAUGCAGCUGUUCUAGCAAACUCUCCUAGGGUAGAAAAACUUCUUUAAGCCACCAGACCCUAUUCUAGCUAUCCAAACUAAAUAAACCAUCCUGGCAAGAGCAUUUGCUGGAAGAACCAUCUCUUUGCUAGGACUUUUGCCAACAUACAUAGAAUUGUUUUUCAUUCUCAGUUUUUACCCACACCUCACUCCAGAUUCCCAUCCACCAUCCACAUCCUGAGCUGACGGGACUACAGGACACAGAUCUGGCCUAAUGCAAGAGGAUCAUCACCAAGUUUUUUUAAACCCUUCUCAAAAUUCCUGCAUGCAGUUGGAGACAUGCAGAUGAGGAUACAGUUUAAAAGCAUAAAAGCAUAACUGCUGACAAAGCUUUUCCCCAGCAGGCACAUAAGCAUGAAGCACUGAGAGUGUCUGUCUGAGGAGGAAAAGGCAGAGCAGAGAACAACCUCGUGGCCAGGUGGAGCAUCAAGCAUUCACCUGCUGGGCAGGGGAAGGUCUGAGAAGAAAGUUCUGAACCUCUCUGUGUACUUGGUGGCUGGAGGCUGGCUCUGAGCCCACCUCAGCCCCUCUAGUAGAAGGAGUGUGGCUGCAUAGCAAACCCUGCAAUGGCAGCUGUAGACCAACAGCGAGGAGGAAGAGAAAAUAUGAAAGUCUGUGUGGAGAAAUAGUAUCAGCAAGAACAUGUGCAUGGAGAGUUCAGGAGCACUUUACUGCUAUUAUUGGAUUUGAACAGUCCCAUCUGGAUAGCAUACGACUGAUUUGUUUGCAUGGCUUAUUUUAGGUAUUUCAGCACACACGUUAGAACUGCCUUCAUAUCUGGCCCAUCCCCUGCACAGCACCUAAGAGCAGCAAGCGACCCCAUCCCAGUGCCUUGGAGAGCUCUUUGCACUUUGAGGUUCAGAGAAGCCCUUUUCCACCCAGCGCAGUACCCCAGAACAAGCGAUGAAACCAUUCCUGUGGCAUCCAAACAAGCAAGAAACUCCAUCAUGGCCAAGAAUGCAAAAGUUCUUGAGUGUGAAGCCGGGCACAUGAUAAUUCACUGGGCCAGGACCAGGGGAAAACAGAUGAAAUUCUAAAUAAUUUGGCCCAAGAUUAAAGAUAUUAUUAUAAAGAAAUGAGUUUAAAAAAUGAAUAAAAAUGUGAUACAAAAAAUAUUGUUUACAUAAACAGAACUGCUUUCAGCCUGAAAUUUGCAGCUGUUUGUCACUAGCUUACAGCGCAGGGAAUGCCCCUUGCAGAUUGAGUCCCCAUAAAACUUAGCAAAUACAAGUUGCUUCAUUAUUUCGCUGCUUUUAGUGCUUUCCAGGGGAUAUUUUUUCCUCCCUUGAACUGGAGCAAAGACUUCUCCCUGCUGACCAACUGGAGGCAGGUUGGAUGCAGCCCAUGUCCUUCCUCCCACCCACCCUAUAUCUCCAUAUGUGCCCAGGCAGGUGACAUUUCCAGAGCCCAUCCAUCCCCAACGGAACUGCCAGCCCUGCCUGAAGCUUUUUCCCACCUUCAUCUUUCCAUUUUGAAGUAGUACAUCCUUGCUUUCAUUCUCUUAGAUUCUUCAGAGACGUCUUUCUCAAUUUGUUUACUUCUGGUUUAUUUUUAAAAGACAAACCCCCAAUGGACAUAAGCUCUCAAGUCACUUCUGAAAACACUGUCUUGUCUGUAAGUGCUUUGUUUGUGAUCCUUUCCAGUCCUUGAGGCUAUUGUUUAUGAGCUGGAAGGCAUCUACGCUUAGGCUAAUCACGCCGAAUGCCAGCAAUUCCCCCAGCAUGAUUUGAUGCACAAGCCAGUGGGAGCAUGGUUUGUUGUGAUUACGUUUACUGCAGAAAACCUGUGUUUGCUCACACCAGCCUCACAAAAUGAGGCGGUCUCAUACUAAACCUUCUGAGGUGAACAGCAAUUUGGUCACUGAUUUCAGUGGCAUCUGGGAGUGGCUGGAAGGUCUGCAGCUCUGCCAGCAAGAGUGGCAUUGCAGAGAAGGAGGUAGCCCAGGAGCCACACCAAUCCUCCUUUAGCUGUUUGCUCAGAGUGGGAUGGAGAUCUAGGAGGCUGCCACUGCUGCGUGCUAUUUUCUUCUUCCUCAUGGCACAACAUACUUGAAGCUCCUAUCCAACACAACCUGUGCACUGGGCAGAGCUGUUCCAGCUGUUGCUCGGGGCAGAGGGUGUCCUCCACUUCCAACCUUCCUACCCAGAGAAUGACAGAAUCAUAGAUUCACAGGAUGGUGGGGUUGGAAGAGACCUCAAAGCCCACCCAGUCCCAUCCCAUGCCGUGGGCAGGGCUGCCAC